This 25-nucleotide non-coding RNA is filed under the name Cricetulus griseus (Chinese hamster). The record is from RNAcentral. Lineage: Eukaryota; Metazoa; Chordata; Mammalia; Rodentia; Cricetidae.
GGGGUAGGGAAGAGAGGGGCUCACU